ACGAACGCUGGCGGCGUGCCUAAUACAUGCAAGUCGAACGCUUCUUUCCUCCCGAGUGCUUGCACUCAAUUGGAAAGAGGAGUGGCGGACGGGUGAGUAACACGUGGGUAACCUACCCAUCAGAGGGGGAUAACACUUGGAAACAGGUGCUAAUACCGCAUAACAGUUUAUGCCGCAUGGCAUAAGAGUGAAAGGCGCUUUCGGGUGUCGCUGAUGGAUGGACCCGCGGUGCAUUAGCUAGUUGGUGAGGUAACGGCUCACCAAGGCCACGAUGCAUAGCCGACCUGAGAGGGUGAUCGGCCACACUGGGACUGAGACACGGCCCAGACUCCUACGGGAGGCAGCAGUAGGGAAUCUUCGGCAAUGGACGAAAGUCUGACCGAGCAACGCCGCGUGAGUGAAGAAGGUCUUCGGAUCGUAAAACUCUGUUGUUAGAGAAGAACAAGGACGUUAGUAACUGAACGUCCCCUGACGGUAUCUAACCAGAAAGCCACGGCUAACUACGUG
Molecule: ribosomal RNA, 507 nt
Filed under: uncultured bacterium
Lineage: Bacteria
Description: partial 16S ribosomal RNA
Rfam family: Bacterial small subunit ribosomal RNA
Source: RNAcentral